GAAAAGAACUUUGAAGAGAGAGUUCAAGAGUACGUGAAACCGUUCAGGGGUAAACCUGAGAAACCCAAAAGAUCGAAUGGGGAGAUUCAUCGACGACGAAGCUGGCUCCCGUUGGCGUGCGAUUCCCCCGUUGGGACCUCGGUUCCAGAACGCGGGGUACACCCCUUCGGCGAAUAACCGGCGACGUAGUCGUGCACUUCUCCCUUUGUAGAACGUCGCGACCCGUUGUGUGUCGGUCUACGGCCUGGGCUAUUUGCCUGUCGCGGUGGCAUUCGUUCGCUCGCGGCAGAGGCUCGGUCGCCCGGCCGGCUGCACGACGGUACUCCGACGGUAUCGGGCCGCAACCAAUCCAUUCUCGAAUGGUAUAUGCGUCCAGGCCCGUCGCAAGCUCGGACAGCACCCGGAGCGUGUGGACGCAGCGCCCUCCCCGGGUCUGGCCAGCUGUUAGCAGACGGUGUCCUCGGACCGGCCAAGCUUCGAAUUACCGGUCAGCGACGCUAUUGCUUUGGGUACUCUCAGGACCCGUCUUGAAACACGGACCAAGGAGUCUAACAUGUGCGCGAGUCAUUGGGACAUUGAAACCUAAAGGCGCAAUGAAAGUGAAAGUCGUCGUAAGAGUCGACCAAGGGAGGAUGGGCCGCGUCACGUCGCGGCCUCGCACUCCCGGGGCGUCUCGUUCUCGUUGAGAAGAGGCGCACCCAGAGCGUACACGUU
RNAcentral lists this ribosomal RNA (714 nucleotides) under Colletes capensis. RNAcentral's name for it is "eukaryotic LSU rRNA". It matches the Rfam family "Eukaryotic large subunit ribosomal RNA", at positions 366 to 810 of the family's 3401-position model. Lineage: Eukaryota; Metazoa; Arthropoda; Insecta; Hymenoptera; Colletidae. The record is from RNAcentral.